UGGGUUGUAGCUCAAUGGUAGAGUGCUUGCUUAGCACGCAUGAGACACUGGAUUCCAUCCUCAGCAUCACAU
This is a non-coding RNA of Ictidomys tridecemlineatus (thirteen-lined ground squirrel), 72 nucleotides long. The record is from Rfam. Lineage: Eukaryota; Metazoa; Chordata; Mammalia; Rodentia; Sciuridae.